CUUGUUUAAGAUCUGAUUUUUUUUAUUCUGGUGAGACCCCAGGGGGACUGGUCUGGAUGCACCCAGGGAACUGGUGGGGAGAAAGGAAGAAAGGGGGAG
Molecule: non-coding RNA, 99 nt
Organism: Chelonoidis abingdonii (Abingdon island giant tortoise)
Lineage: Eukaryota; Metazoa; Chordata; Testudines; Testudinidae
Source: RefSeq, a predicted model, not a curated record